Non-coding RNA from Anas platyrhynchos (mallard), 3656 nucleotides. The record is from RefSeq and is a predicted model, not a curated record. Lineage: Eukaryota; Metazoa; Chordata; Aves; Anseriformes; Anatidae.
CAGAUGGCACUGAAGGCCUGGCCAGGUGUGCCUGGUCCCAGUUAUGAGUGUCUGGUCUCAGCACAGUGGAAGGGAAUAUAGGAUAGCAGGUAAGUGAUUUUAUUCAGAUCGGAUCUGACCAUGCAGUGAGCAAGAGGAAGGUGCGGAGCCAUGGAAGAAAGCCUGGAUGAGAAGUGACCCACAGGGUACAACAGAGCUCCUGGCUGCCCUGCUGGGAAGGCUGCUGAGUGAAACUGCUGCACCAUUACAACCACUUGUAACCUGGAGUAUGACAGAAAACACUGCUGCAAAUCCGUGUGGAGUGGUUGCCACAGGGAAGGAGGUGGGGAGCUCCCAGAGGAAGCCUGAAAUUAGGCAUCACCCAGAUGUUCUGCAUGAAUCCAAGCCACGUGUUGUGGACUGAAGACAAAUAUCAGUGAUAAAAUGAAGGUCAGCAAUUUAAUAGCUUCUUGCAGAAAAGAUUUUGAGGAACCUUUGAAACAUGCUGGCAAAAUCUGAUGAGAAGGCAGUAGCGUGCUUGAAGCAGAAAUUCCAAGAACGAAACUGUAGCCAUUUCCAAGAGAUGCUAAGAAGAUGCAGCUGGCAGGGAGGAACAAAGGCUGUCUGUCAUGAUGUAGUCGAAGAUAAGGAUGAAGAGGAGAGUUGUUCCUCCAGCAAGGUGCACAAAGAGUGCUGCUAGAGAGAAGGAGCCAAAAUCAAGGAUUUGGAGGAAUGGAUGCUGAGAACGCCUGUCCCACACGUCAGUGCUGUUUGAGAUACGGCGAAGCUGUGCCAGUGACAACCACAAGAAGAGCUCUCUGAUCGGAUGGUUUCAGGGGCUGUCUACGUCCAGAGGAAGGACUCUGGGGUGCCACAACUCUUGUUUGAAACUUAAAGCAGCGAUGUGGCAUUCAGUGCAGCUAAGGAUGGGCAGCCCGACCCUGCCAACUGCUGUGUUAAAAAGUAAUGGAGGAAGGAGAACAAACACCUGCAGAAGCUGUUCCACAUGUAGUAGAGGAGGCACAGCGCGCAUAAAAGUAAUAUGCCUCACCUUGCUGCCUCCAUCUCAGCCUGGCCAUUUUCUGCACUGAAACGAGGCUUUUGCAGUUGUGUUGAGUGUUCAUCAGCUGUUCCCCCCGGAGAGGUGAGCACACACAGGAGGUUGGUGGCACAGAGUGGGCAUCCCUUCUGGAGGUGCUCCCUGAAACGAGGACCUCAGCAGGUGCUCAGUCAGCUGGGGUUAAACCCAGCUGUGCCCUGCUCUGGCCCAUGCUGUCGCUUUUGCAAAAGUAAGGGGAAGGCAGGUUUGAGUGGACAGUUGCAGAUAACAUGGAAAAAGGGUUUUAAGUCUUGCCAUGUGAUCAUUUUUAAAUAGAGACACACAAAGACUCAGGUUGGCUCCCUGAGCUGGGCUAAGUGCAUCAGAGGCUGCACCCGGCUGCCUGUUUUUGGCAGCAUCCCCUCUGGGCAGAUGCACAGUCCCCCUGUGGUCCCGGGGCUCUUCCAGGGGCACAUCAUUGCUCUCAGGGGCAUUCAAGGCUCUGCCCAUGCAAUUCGGUUUAAUCUUAUCAUGCUGUAACCCCCUUCUCCCGCUUUGUUCCUCUAGCUGCUGUUUCUCUGGUUGCUGGGACAAGUUGAGGCUGUCCCCAUGCCAGUCUGGGUGUUACAUAGUGGCCCCUGGCCUGGUGGCUGAGCUGGGGGCUGGGGGUCAGGUUUGGAAACAGCACUCACCAGGUGAGCACCAGAGAUCAGUAAGGAGCAAAGGCCAGAGCUGUUUGGUUUGAUGUUUUUGGCUCAAUUCUGAAAAACCUUCAAAAUCAGUUUUGCCCAAGGAAGGAGCAGGCUGAGAACAACAGAUCCUGCCUUGGGGCUGGAGGGAAGGGGCAGGGACGUGGUCACCAUGCCCCUGCAGCGUCCCCAGGAGCCUGCCUGGGACAUGGGGUCAGAGGGAGCUAAAACGACCCCACACCCACAGCCCCUCCGUAUCACCAAAUCUUCAAGAGGCUCCAUCAAACAUCUUGAGUUAGUCCAAAAUGCUCCUGGCAUUCCAGCUGGCAAACAUUCGGUGAUGCUGUUGCAAAAAUGACUCAGGAGGACACGUUUCCAGCUCAGCCUUCCUGGGCUGAGAGGCAUGGGCAAUACAGAGCGCUCCGGCCACAACCUUUAAGGUAAGACCUCAGCUACACCCUCUCGCCCUCUCACAGCACUGGUCUCAGCUAGCUCCUACAUUGAGUCUUUUUUUUUUUUCUUUUUUUUCCCCUGGGAUCCCCACAGAAGCUGCUCCUGGGCUCUUUUUCUACUCAGUUUAUUUGUUUUAACGUGUUGUCCCCAGAUAGCCUUGUCUUUCCAGUCAGGUUUGUCUUUCGCAGCUGCUCCCUGGGCCUCAUUGGACUUUAACUAAACCAAACUUACAAACAAACAAAAAAUAACAGCAACAAAAACAACAACCAAGCAAAAACAAACAAACCAAAGGCCACCAACCACCAAGGCGUUGUAGCCUCUCGGUUAAAUACAAACAUAUGUGGGAGGCUCAGGCCUUGACACUCCUGGGCCCCACAAGGCGCCCAUGCUCCCCAUCCCAGGUCCAACUCUGGGUAGCACCCCCAGCCUUCGCUGAACGCUGAAGUUGCUGGCAUUUGAGGCUGGUUAAAAGCUGAAGAGCUGAGGCAUUUCCAGGGAGUGAGUGCUUUGCACAGCCUGACUCUGCCUGUGUGAUAGGCACUUUGUAAUCCUGGCAGAGGAAUUUAGUUGAGAGAGCAUUAUGGGCAGAUUAAAGUAGCCAAGGCGCAGUUCAUUUGCUGCCCUCUGCUCUUCUGGUUUGACUUUUUCUAGCGUCAGGCAGCAACGUACAAAAUAUUUCCUGGGCCACUCAGAGAUCUACACAAGAUGUAUUCAGCCCCGUGACUUAGCAGUAGCUGCCGUGACUUCAGUGCUGCUGUUUAUUUUUCAAAAAAAAAUCUUCUGAUGGUUUUUUACUUGGUACAAUCUUCUGUACAUGAGGGGUGUUUUGUUUGUUUUAAAUGGGAUAUUCAGCGACUUCUUUGCAGCUUUCCAGUUGUAUAUUUCGUAAACUGAGUGCAAGCUUUAAAGAGCUUUGUCUGACUUCUGGGGCUGCUCCAUGGCUACUGAAAUGUUGACCCAGCCUCUCCUGCCUGCGUGGUCCUAGACUUUACCAGCGGUGGUACAGGGCCUGCAGCUGCUGCUCGCUUUGCUCUUGGCGAGCCCAAAGAUCGGCAGCGCACUGCCCGCCUGCGCUCAGCACCCAGGGGUGCAGCUGGGCCCUGCUGGGACAAAAUGCUGCUGCUACACAAAGCAGCCAGGGCUGCUGCUGCAAGCCCCAGCCACCCGCUGGGCAGAGCUCCAAAGCCUGCUGCUGCUGUGGUUGUGGUGGGUCAUCCAGCCCUGCAGAUAGUUUUUUUUCUUUUCUUUUACAGCACGAUCAACCUUUAUUCUGAAAUGAGUCUUCAUGUCUGAAUAAUUUCAUAUGCACUUGCCCAUCUGUUUCAUGAAAGACACAGAUAACCUCGUGCAGCAUGAAACUGCCUGCAAAAGCUAAAUUGUGCUUUUCAGCAGCAGCUUAAACACCUGAAUUUAAUAGCCUUUGCAGGGCUUGUCUGAAUGAGUGGCAGAGGGCUUUAAAUUAAUAUUGUUUCACAGGAAAAUAGCUGGUUGAUUAA